UACGUAGGUGACAAGCGUUGUCCGGAUUUACUGGGCGUAAAGAGCGCGCAGGCGGUCGAUCAAGUCGAGUGUGAAAGCCCCCGGCUCAACUGGGGAGGGUCAUUCGAAACUGGUCGACUCGAAGGCAGGAGAGGGUAGUGGAAUUCCCGGUGUAGUGGUGAAAUGCGUAGAUAUCGGGAGGAACACCAGUGGCGAAGGCGACUACCUGGCCUGUUCUUGACGCUGAGGCGCGAAAGCUAGGGGAGCAAACGGGG
RNAcentral lists this ribosomal RNA (254 nucleotides) under uncultured bacterium. RNAcentral describes it as "partial 16S ribosomal RNA". It matches the Rfam family "Bacterial small subunit ribosomal RNA", at positions 524 to 777 of the family's 1533-position model. The record is from RNAcentral.